AGUGAACGCUGGCGGUAGGCCUAACACAUGCAAGUCGAACGGCAGCACAGUAAGAGCUUGCUCUUACGGGUGGCGAGUGGCGGACGGGUGAGGAAUACAUCGGAAUCUACUUUUUCGUGGGGGAUAACGUAGGGAAACUUACGCUAAUACCGCAUACGACCUACGGGUGAAAGCAGGGGAUCUUCGGACCUUGCGCGAUUGAAUGAGCCGAUGUCGGAUUAGCUAGUUGGCGGGGUAAAGGCCCACCAAGGCGACGAUCCGUAGCUGGUCUGAGAGGAUGAUCAGCCACACUGGAACUGAGACACGGUCCAGACUCCUACGGGAGGCAGCAGUGGGGAAUAUUGGACAAUGGGCGCAAGCCUGAUCCAGCCAUACCGCGUGGGUGAAGAAGGCCUUCGGGUUGUAAAGCCCUUUUGUUGGGAAAGAAAAGCAGCAGGUUAAUACCCCGCCGUUCUGACGGUACCCAAAGAAUAGGCACCGGCUAACUUCGUG
RNAcentral lists this ribosomal RNA (492 nucleotides) under uncultured bacterium. RNAcentral's name for it is "partial 16S ribosomal RNA". It matches the Rfam family "Bacterial small subunit ribosomal RNA", at positions 29 to 507 of the family's 1533-position model. The record is from RNAcentral.